AAUCUUCCACAAUGGGCGAAAGCCUGAUGGAGCCACGCUGCGUGAGUGAAGAAGGUUUUCGGAUCGUAAAACUCUGUUGUACGGGAAGAACAAGUACAGUAGUAACUGGCUGUACCUUGACGGUACCUUAUUAGACAGCCACGGCUAACUACGUGCCAGUAGCCGCGGUAAUACGUAGGUGGUAAGCGUUGUCCGGAAGUAUUGGGCGUAAAGCGCGCGCAGGCGGUCCUUUAAGUCUGAUGUGAAAGCCCACGGCUCAACCGUGGAGGGUGAUUGGAAACUGGGGGACUUGAGUGCAGAAGAGGAAAGUGGAAUUCCAAGUGUAGCGGUGAAAUGCGUAGAGAUUUGGAGGAACACCAGUGGCGAAGGCGACUUUCUGGUCUGUAACUGACGCUGAGGCGCGAAAGCGUGGGGAGCAAACA
Molecule: ribosomal RNA, 422 nt
Filed under: uncultured bacterium
Lineage: Bacteria
Description: partial 16S ribosomal RNA
Rfam family: Bacterial small subunit ribosomal RNA
Source: RNAcentral